RNAcentral lists this ribosomal RNA (475 nucleotides) under uncultured bacterium. RNAcentral's name for it is "partial 16S ribosomal RNA". It matches the Rfam family "Bacterial small subunit ribosomal RNA", at positions 28 to 507 of the family's 1533-position model. The record is from RNAcentral.
GAUGAACGCUAGCGGCAGGCCUAACACAUGCAAGUCGAGGGAUAAGCCUUCGGGCUAAGCCCGGCGCACGGGUGCGUAACGCGUAUACAAUCUGCCUUUUAUCCGGGGGAUAGCCCGAAGAAAUUUGGAUUAAUACCCUAUGGUAUAAGAGCACGGCAUCGUGCACUUAUUAAAGCUACGGCGGUAAAAGAUGAGUAUGCGUUCUAUUAGCUAGUUGGAGAGGUAACGGCUCCCCAAGGCGACGAUAGAUAGGGGUUCUGAGAGGGAUGUCCCCCACACUGGUACUGCGAUACGGACCAGACUCCUACGGGAGGCAGCAGUGAGGAAUAUUGGACAAUGGUCGGAAGACUGAUCCAGCCAUGCCGCGUGCAGGAUGACGGCCUUAUGGGUGGUAAACUGCUUUUGGAAGGGAAGAAUAAGGAGUACGUGUACUUUGAUGACGGUACCUUACGAAUAAGCAUCGGCUAACUCCGUG